Molecule: long non-coding RNA, 1928 nt
Filed under: Callithrix jacchus (white-tufted-ear marmoset)
Lineage: Eukaryota; Metazoa; Chordata; Mammalia; Primates; Cebidae
Description: lncRNA (ENSCJAG00000067929.2)
Source: RNAcentral
AUGAUGAAUAAGUUUUUUGAUUUUGCGUAUGUUGAACCAGCCUUGCAUCCCUGGGAUGAAUCCUACUUGAUCAUGAUGAAUAAGUUUUUUGAUUUGCUGUUGCAAUCGGCUUGCCAAUAUUUUAUUGAAGAUUUUUGCAUCUAUGUUCAUCAUGGAUAUUGGCCUGAAGUUUUCUUUUCUCGUUGGGUCUCUGCCGGGUUUUGGUAUCAGGAUGAUAUUGGUCUCAUAAAAUUAUUUGGGAAGGAUUCCCUCUUUUUGGAUUGUUUGAAAUAGUUUUAGAAGGAAUGGUACCAGCUCCUCCUUGUGUGUCUGGUAGAAUUCGGCUGUGAACCCAUCUGGGCCUGGGCUUUUUUUGUGAGGUAGGCUCUUAAUUGCUGCCUCAACUUCAGACCUUGUUAUUGGUCUAUUCAUAGUUUCAGCUUCCUCCUGGUUUAGGCUUGGGAGGACACAGGAGUCCAGGAAUUUAUCCAUUUCUUCCAGGUUUACUAGUUUAUGUGCAUAGAGUUGUUUGUAAUAUUCUCUGAUGAUGGUUUGAAUUUCUGUGGAAUCUGUAGUGAUUUCCCCUUUAUCAUUUUUUAUUGCAUCUAUUUGGUUGUUCUCUCUUUUAUUUUUAAUCAAUCUGGCUAGUGGUCUGUCUAUUUUGUUGAUCUUUUCAAAAAACCAGCUCUUGGAUUUAUUGAUUUUUUGAAGGGUUUUUCGUGUCUCAAUCUCCUUCAGCUCAGCUCUGAUCUUAGUAAUUUCUUGUCUUCUGCUGGGUUUUGAGUUUUUUUGAUCUUGCUCCUCUAGCUCUUUCAAUUUUGACGAUAGGGUGUCAAUUUUGGAUCUCUCCAUUCUCCUCAUAUGGGCACUUAUUGCUAUAUACUUUCCUCUAGAGACUGCUUUAAAUGUGUCCCAGAGGUUCUGGCACGUUGUGUCUUCAUUCUCAUUGGUUUCGAAGAACUUCUUUAUUUCUGCCUUCAUUUCGUUGUUUACCCAGUCAACAUUCAAGAGCCAGUUGUUCAGUUUCCAUGAAGCUGUGCGGUUCUGGGUCGGUUUCUGAAUUCUGAGUUCUAACUUGAUUGCACUAUGGUCUGAGAGGCUGUUUGUUAUGAUUUCAGUUGUUUUGCAUUUGUUGAGCAGUGCUUUACUUCCAAUUAUGUGGUCAAUUUUAGAGUAGGUGUGAUGUGGUGCUGAGAAGAAUGUGUAUUCUGUGGAUUUGGGGUGGAGAGUUCUGUAAAUGUCCACCAGGUUUGCUUGCUCCAGGUCUGAGUUCAAGCCCUGGGUAUCCUUGUUGAUUUUCUGUCUGGUUGAUCUGUCUAGUAUUGACAGUGGAGUGUUAAAGUCUCCCACUAUUAUUGUGUGGGAGUCUAAGUCCUUCUGUAAGUCAUUAAGAACUUGCCUUAUGUAUCUGGGUGCUCCUGUGUUGGGUCCAUAUAUGUUUAGGAUCGUUAGCUCUUCUUGUUGUAUCGAUCCUUUUACCAUUAUGUAAUGGCCUUCUUUGUCUCUUUUGAUCUUUGUUGCUUUAAAGUCUAUUUUAUCAGAGAUGAGAAUUGCAACUCCUGCUUUUUUUUGCUUUCCAUUAGCUUGGUAAAUCUUCCUCCAUCCCUUUAUUUUGAGCCUUUGUGUAUCCUUGCAUGUGAGAUGGGUUUCCUGGAUACAGCACACUGAUGGGUUUUGGAUUUUUAUCCAAUUUGCCAGUCUGUGUCUUUUGAUUGGUGCAUUUAGUCCAUUUACAUUUAGGGUUAAUAUUGUUAUGUGUGAAUUUGAUACUGCCAUUUUGAUUCUAAGUGGCUGUUUUGCCUGUUAGUUGUUGUAGAUUCUUCAUUAUGUUGAAGCUCUUUAGCAUUCCGUGUGAUUUUGGAAUGGCUGGUACUGAUUGAUCCUUUCUAUGUGUAGUGCCUCUUUUAGAAGCUCUUGUAAAGCAGGCGGAAAUGAAUUUUUAAAUGAGA